CCCCCCCCCCCAAACAAUGUCACCAGACACUCAUCAAGCUAGUUUGCGUCUGUCGCUGACGUGUCCAAGGAGAAACUGAUGCUGAUCCAAGCCCGGGAGGACCUGCUGCUCAGAGGGGUGGACGUUUGACCACAAGGCUAACACGUGCCACACCACCUGUCCAGUCCUGUCCAGUAAGUGAAGGUGGAGCAGUUCCACAGCAUGUUUGCAGGGGAGUUUUUCUACAUCGGCAUGGCCAGCAACGUCCACCUCUCUGCACAUUCGUCCCCCUGUGAAGGUUCAUAAAGUGCAGCAGUAUCGAACAGAAAGCUCAUUCACUGGAUGCCCUCCUGGAAAGCAUGCCGGAAUGUUGAGGAACAUAACCACUUGCACGAAGGGCACGUUCACUCGAGAGCAGCUUCAGGACAACUUCUCUUACGUCAUCCUCAAAAGUAUGUGUUCUUAGUGGAGGAGGUUCUGUUCCGGCCUAGCUCUGCCUCCAGUGACCUGCAUAUCUCCUACUACAGUAUUACAGACUACUUCUGCCCCCUGCUGGUCUACCACGAUACCCCCAGGAGACCCUCCAUGGAGCUCUACUAUACGCUGACCACUACAUUCAGUGUGCACGGGGCAUUCCUUCCUCGCCCUCUGCCAUCUGGUGUGGCACUGGGCAUCUUCCCGGGCCAUCUUUGUGGUCCUGCUGCUCAUCGGCUUUCUCCUCAGCCAGCGCGCUCACCAUAAAAAAAUAGGAUGGACACACACUUUACACACAAAGCGCAACACAUUCAGAUGUUUUUUUUGUCAAAACACACGCACUCCCAAUACAUCCCAAAACAGGAGAAAAAACGCAUGUCCUCUGAGCAGCGUGAAAUAAAUGUGAUGAGCUGUUCAGCAUGAACUCUGUCAGUAACUGAUCCCUGCCUUUUUGUCUUGUCUGUGAUUCAUUUAGAAACUGUUUUCAGUUUUAGGAACACAGUUAGUUGAUCUGAAAUCUGUUGAUGAUUGGAAAUGAUACAUUUGCAUAAAGCUUUUUUUAAAUGCUGUCCUUGUAUGUUUUGCUUGAUGAAAAUGUUUUGGAGGAAUAAAGAGUUUAUAGCAAUCGUUUCUUCAUAACGGCAGUUUUUGUUUCACACUUCAAUCAGAUGGAAGCUCUGUUGACGCAAGACACGGUAAACAUAUGGAUAGUUAUUCAUUGUAAAGUUUUUAUGUACACAUACUUCAUUGCGCAUCAGUCACCUUUAACACGGUGCUGGCAUAAGUCAACAGUCUUUAAUGUCACCCGUUGUGUUGACACAAUCCUAUGGCUUGUUUCACAAGG
Molecule: non-coding RNA, 1297 nt
Organism: Oncorhynchus mykiss (rainbow trout)
Lineage: Eukaryota; Metazoa; Chordata; Actinopteri; Salmoniformes; Salmonidae
Source: RefSeq, a predicted model, not a curated record